CUUACACAUGCAAGUCGAACGGAGAUGUCUCGCUGACGAAGCUUCGGCCGAGUCUUGAGGCAUCUUAGUGGCGGACGGGUGAGUAACGCGUGGGUAACCUGCCUAUCACAGGGGGACAACAGUUGGAAACGACUGCUAAUACCGCAUAAGCGCACGGCACCGCAUGGUGCAGUGUGAAAAGAUUCAUCGGUGAUAGAUGGACCCGCGUCUGAUUAGCCAGUUGGUGAGGUAACGGCCCACCAAAGCGACGAUCAGUAGCCGAACUGAGAGGUUGACCGGCCACAUUGGGACUGAGACACGGCCCAAACUCCUACGGGAGGCAGCAGUGGGGAAUAUUGCACAAUGGGGGGAACCCUGAUGCAGCGACGCCGCGUGAGUGAAGAAGUAUUUCGGUAUGUAAAGCUCUAUCAGCAGGGAAGAAAAUGACGGUACCUGACUAAGAAGCCCCGGCUAACUACGUGCCAGCAGCCGCGGUAAUACGUAGGGGGCAAGCGUUAUCCGGAUUUACUGGGUGUAAAGGGAGCGUA
RNAcentral lists this ribosomal RNA (527 nucleotides) under uncultured rumen bacterium. RNAcentral's name for it is "bacterial SSU rRNA". It matches the Rfam family "Bacterial small subunit ribosomal RNA", at positions 48 to 573 of the family's 1533-position model. The record is from RNAcentral.